UGCCAGCAGCCGCGGUAAUACGGGAGUGGCAAGCGUUAUCCGGAAUCAUUGGGUUUAAAGGGUGCGCAGGCGGUUUAUUAAGUCAGUGGUGAAAUCUCGAGGCACAACCUCGAAACUGCCAUUGAUACUGAUAAACUUGAGUUCAGUUGGAGUAGGCGGAAUGUGUAGUGUAGCGGUGAAAUGCUUAGAUAUUACACAGAACACCGAUAGCGAAGGCAGCUUACUAAACUGAUACUGACGCUGAGGCACGAAAGCGUGGGGAGCGAACAGGAUUAGAUA
This 279-nucleotide ribosomal RNA is filed under the name uncultured bacterium. RNAcentral describes it as "partial 16S ribosomal RNA". It matches the Rfam family "Bacterial small subunit ribosomal RNA", at positions 506 to 784 of the family's 1533-position model. The record is from RNAcentral.